UUCCGGCCAUAUCAGCCUGAAGGCGCCCGAUCUCGUCUGAUCGCGGAAGCUAAGCAGGGUCGGGCCUGCUUAAAAAAAAAAAAAAAGGUUCUCACUCUUAGCCUCUGCUCCAGCUACAUUAGCUGAUGAGA
Molecule: ribosomal RNA, 131 nt
Filed under: Bison bison bison
Lineage: Eukaryota; Metazoa; Chordata; Mammalia; Artiodactyla; Bovidae
Source: RNAcentral